ACGGAAGGCAGCAGUAGGGAAUAUUGGACAAUGGGGGAAACCCUGAUCCAGCGACGCCGCGUGAGUGAAGAAAUAUUUCGGUAUGUAAAGCUCUAUCAGCAGGGAAGAAAAUGACGGUACCUGACUAAGAAGCACCGGCUAAAUACGUGCCAGCAGCCGCGGUAAUACGUAUGGUGCAAGCGUUAUUCGGAUUUACUGGGUGUAAAGGGAGCGUAGACGGUUUGGCAAGUCUGAAGUGAAAUGCGGGGGCUCAACUCCUGAACUGCUUUGGAAACUGUCGAACUAGAGUGCAGGAGAGGUAAGUGGAAUUCCUAGUGUAGCGGUGAAAUGCGUAGAUAUUAGGAGGAACACCAGUGGCGAAGGCGGCUUACUGGACUGUAACUGACGUUGAGGCUCGAAAGCGUGGGGAGCAAACAGGAUUAGAUACCCUGGUA
This 434-nucleotide ribosomal RNA is filed under the name uncultured Lachnospiraceae bacterium. Its description in RNAcentral is "partial 16S ribosomal RNA". It matches the Rfam family "Bacterial small subunit ribosomal RNA", at positions 341 to 792 of the family's 1533-position model. The record is from RNAcentral. Lineage: Bacteria; Bacillati; Bacillota; Clostridia; Lachnospirales; Lachnospiraceae.